RNAcentral lists this ribosomal RNA (253 nucleotides) under uncultured bacterium. RNAcentral's name for it is "partial 16S ribosomal RNA". It matches the Rfam family "Bacterial small subunit ribosomal RNA", at positions 524 to 776 of the family's 1533-position model. The record is from RNAcentral.
UACGGGGGGGGCAAGCGUUGUUCGGAAUUACUGGGCGUAAAGCGUGCGCAGGCGGUUCGUUAAGUCAGAUGUGAAAGCCCCGGGCUCAACCUGGGAACUGCAUUUGAAACUGGCUUACUAGAGUGCGGUAGAGGGGUGUGGAAUUCCCGGUGUAGAGGUGAAAUUCGUAGAUAUCGGGAGGAACACCAGUGGCGAAGGCGGCGACCUGGGCCAAUACUGACGCUGAGGUGCGAAAGCGUGGGGAGCAAACAGG